Molecule: long non-coding RNA, 470 nt
Filed under: Setaria italica (foxtail millet)
Lineage: Eukaryota; Viridiplantae; Streptophyta; Magnoliopsida; Poales; Poaceae
Description: long non-coding RNA (SITA_LNC003418)
Source: RNAcentral
GCAAUUUGGCAUUUCCAAAAGAGACACAAAAAGGUAUGUACAUAGAAUUUUUCCAAACUUGAUAAGAAAGAAUUGAAGCCGCCGGAGCUCGACUACACUGGCCAUGGUCUUUCAUUAAGUACCUACUAAAACAUAAAUGGAAAAUGGAAAACAAAGGGGCACCUCCACGGGCCGGCGCUGCAGCCGGCCGGCCGCCUCGCACCACGGCUCAGUCCGGUGAAGCUGGCCGGCCGGCCGGCAGCCGGCGGCGUCUGUAUGCGCUUGCGUUUCUCAUCAGGCGGUAGGCUGGCCGACACGCUUCGACAAACGCGCCAGCGGCCACGGUCGUCUACACCGACGUUUGUCGCCGGCAGCGAGCCCAGAUGCUGCGGCUGUCCGCAGCUCGCGGCGGCGGGGCCCGCGGCGCGAGUUAGAGGCGCCGGCGCGCCGGGCGACGUCGCACGCCCGGCGACGACAAGAAGGCAUCGCCG